RNAcentral lists this unclassified non-coding RNA (110 nucleotides) under Natronobacterium texcoconense. Its description in RNAcentral is "HgcC family RNA". The record is from RNAcentral. Lineage: Archaea; Methanobacteriati; Methanobacteriota; Halobacteria; Halobacteriales; Natrialbaceae.
GAGGUCUCGUGCAGCCCGCCAGAACCGAAGGUUCUGGAGACGACGACUAACUGGUAUUCCCCAUGCGUGGGAAGCCUCGCCGUUUACGGCGAGGAGGAUGUCACACCAUC